RNAcentral lists this ribosomal RNA (442 nucleotides) under uncultured bacterium. Its description in RNAcentral is "partial 16S ribosomal RNA". It matches the Rfam family "Bacterial small subunit ribosomal RNA", at positions 338 to 795 of the family's 1533-position model. The record is from RNAcentral.
CCUACGGGUGGCAGCAGUGGGGGAUAUUGCACAAUGGGGGAAACCCUGAUGCAGCGACGCCGCGUGGGCGAAGAAGUAUUUCGGUAUGUAAAGCCCUAUCAGCAGGGAAGAAGAAAUGACGGUACCUGACUAAGAAGCCCCGGCUAACUACGUGCCAGCAGCCGCGGUAAUACGUAGGGGGCAAGCGUUAUCCGGAUUUACUGGGUGUAAAGGGGGCGCAGACGGCAGCGCAAGCCAGGAGUGAAAGCCCGGGGCCCAACCCCGGGACUGCUCUUGGAACUGCGCGGCUGGAGUGCAGGAGGGGCAGGCGGAAUUCCUGGUGUAGCGGUGAAAUGCGUAGAUAUCAGGAGGAACACCGGUGGCGAAGGCGGCCUGCUGGACUGCGACUGACGUUGAGGCCCGAAAGCGUGGGGAGCAAACAGGAUUAGAUACCCGGGUAGUC